AGAACGAACGCUGGCGGCAUGCCUAACACAUGCAAGUCGAACGCUCCUGGGGCUUCGGUCUCAGGGGAGUGGCGCACGGGUGAGUAGCGCGUGGGAACCUGCCCUGUUGUGGGGGAUAACCGAGGGAAACUUCGGCUAAUACCGCAUAAGCCGGUUGUCUUGAAAGAGAUGACCGGGAAAGAUUUAUCGCGACAGGAGGGGCCCGCGUCGGAUUAGCUAGUUGGUGGGGUAACGCCCACCAAGGCAGUGAUCCGUAGCUGGUCUGAGAGGAUGAUCAGCCACACUGGGACUGAGACACGGCCCAGACUCCUACGGGAGGCAGCAGUGGGGAAUAUUGGACAAUGGGCGCAAGCCUGAUCCAGCAAUGCCGCGUGAGUGAUGAAGGCCUUAGGGUUGUAAAGUCCUUUCGGCGGGGAAGAUAAUGACGGUACCCGCAGAAGAAGCCCCGGCUAACUUCGUGCCAGCAGCCGCGGUAA
This 476-nucleotide ribosomal RNA is filed under the name uncultured bacterium. Its description in RNAcentral is "SSU rRNA". It matches the Rfam family "Bacterial small subunit ribosomal RNA", at positions 26 to 523 of the family's 1533-position model. The record is from RNAcentral.